GGAGAUGCAUCUCAGUGGUACAGUGUUUGCCUAGCAUGCAUGAGGCCCUAAGUUCCAUCCCCAGCAUCUCCC
RNAcentral lists this transfer RNA (72 nucleotides) under Cavia porcellus (domestic guinea pig). It matches the Rfam family "tRNA". Rfam says of the family: Transfer RNA (tRNA) molecules are approximately 80 nucleotides in length. Their secondary structure includes four short double-helical elements and three loops (D, anti-codon, and T loops). Lineage: Eukaryota; Metazoa; Chordata; Mammalia; Rodentia; Caviidae. The record is from Rfam by way of RNAcentral.